UACGAAGGGGGCAAGCGUUAUUCGGAAUGACUGGGCGUAAAGGGCGUGUAGGUGGAUUUGUGCGUUUGGUGUGAAAGUCCUGGGCUUAACCUGGGGGUUGCACUGAAUACGGCAAGUCUAGAGCGUGAGAGGGGAAAAUGGAAUUGCGGGUGUAGAGGUGAAAUUCGUAGAUAUCCGCAGGAACACCAAUGGCGAAGGCAGUUUUCUGGCUCACAGCUGACACUGAGGCGCGAAAGCGUGGGGAGCAAACAGG
Molecule: ribosomal RNA, 253 nt
Filed under: uncultured bacterium
Lineage: Bacteria
Description: partial 16S ribosomal RNA
Rfam family: Bacterial small subunit ribosomal RNA
Source: RNAcentral